UACGGAGGGAGCUAGCGUUGUUCGGAAAUACUGGGCGUAAAGCGCACGUAGGCGGCGCAGCAAGUCAGGGGUGAAAUCCCGGGGCUCAACCCCGGAACUGCCCUUGAAACUGCAGUGCUAGAAUCUUGGAGAGGUCAGUGGAAUUCCGAGUGUAGAGGUGAAAUUCGUAGAUAUUCGGAAGAACACCAGUGGCGAAGGCGACUGACUGGACAAGUAUUGACGCUGAGGUGCGAAAGCGUGGGGAGCAAACAGG
RNAcentral lists this ribosomal RNA (253 nucleotides) under uncultured bacterium. RNAcentral's name for it is "partial 16S ribosomal RNA". It matches the Rfam family "Bacterial small subunit ribosomal RNA", at positions 524 to 776 of the family's 1533-position model. The record is from RNAcentral.